Molecule: ribosomal RNA, 328 nt
Filed under: uncultured bacterium
Lineage: Bacteria
Description: bacterial SSU rRNA
Rfam family: Bacterial small subunit ribosomal RNA
Source: RNAcentral
CGUGUAGGCGGUGCGGUAAGUUGGGCGUGAAAUCCCCGAGCUUAACUCGGGUGGGCCGUUCAAGACUGCCGUGCUAGGGUGCGGGAGAGGGAAGUGGCAUUUCCGGUGUAGCGGUGAAAUGCGUAGAUAUCGGGAGGAACACCUGCGGCGAAGGCGGCUUCCUGGACCGUAACCGACGCUGAGGCGCGAAAGCUAGGGGAGCAAACAGGAUUAGAUACCCUGGUAGUCCUAGCCCUAAACGAUGACGCACUGGGUGUGGCCCCUCACGGGGCCGUGCCGAAGCUAACGCAUUAAGUGCUCCGCCUGGGGAUACGGUCGCAAGGCUGAA